Macaca mulatta (Rhesus monkey) is the source of this 468-nucleotide RNA transcript. It is a transcript of the gene named cytochrome c oxidase assembly protein COX16 homolog, mitochondrial pseudogene, with no coding region annotated. Lineage: Eukaryota; Metazoa; Chordata; Mammalia; Primates; Cercopithecidae. The record is from RefSeq and is a predicted model, not a curated record.
CCAAGCACUAAAUAACCAAGGAAAAGGAAGUGAGUCAAGGACGUACUCCUCUUGGUGACAGCGUGGGCUGCUGAGAUUUGGGAGUCUGCGCUGGGUCCGCUUGGAGUUCUGAGCGGAUGGAAGAUUUCAGUCAUGUUUGCACCCGCAGUGAUGCAUGCUUUUCGCAAGAACAAGACUCUCCGCUAUGGAGUCCCCAUGUUGCUGCUGAUUGUUGGAGGUUCUUUUGGUCUUCGUGAGUUUUCUCAAAUCCGAUAUGAUGUUGUGAAGAUUAAAAUGGAUCCUGAGCUUGGAAAAAAACUGAAAGAGAAUAAAAUAUCUUUAGAGUCGGAAUAUGAGACUCCAAGUUUGAUGGCUGGAAGAAUAUUGGAGGACCCAGGCCUUGGGAAGAUCCUGACCUCCUCCAAGGAAGAAAUCCGGAAAGCCUUAAGACUAAGACAACUUGACUCUGUUGAUUCUUUUUUCCUUUUU